AGAGUUUGAUCAUGGCUCAGAUUGAACGCUGGCGGCAGGCCUAACACAUGCAAGUCGAACGGUAACAGGAAGCAGCUUGCUGCUUUGCUGACGAGUGGCGGACGGGUGAGUAAUGUCUGGGAAACUGCCUGAUGGAGGGGGAUAACUACUGGAAACGGUAGCUAAUACCGCAUAACGUCGCAAGACCAAAGAGGGGGACCUUCGGGCCUCUUGCCAUCGGAUGUGCCCAGAUGGGAUUAGCUAGUAGGUGGGGUAAAGGCUCACCUAGGCGACGAUCCCUAGCUGGUCUGAGAGGAUGACCAGCCACACUGGAACUGAGACACGGUCCAGACUCCUACGGGAGGCAGCAGUGGGGAAUAUUGCACAAUGGGCGCAAGCCUGAUGCAGCCAUGCCGCGUGUAUGAAGAAGGCCUUCGGGUUGUAAAGUACUUUCAGCGGGGAGGAAGGGAGUAAAGUUAAUACCUUUGCUCAUUGACGUUACCCGCAGAAGAAGCACCGGCUAACUCCGUGCCAGCAGCCGCGGUAAUACGGAGGGUGCAAGCGUUAAUCGGAAUUACUGGGCGUAAAGCGCACGCAGGCGGUUUGUUAAGUCAGAUGUGAAAUCCCCGGGCUCAACCUGGGAACUGCAUCUGAUACUGGCAAGCUUGAGUCUCGUAGAGGGGGGUAGAAUUCCAGGUGUAGCGGUGAAAUGCGUAGAGAUCUGGAGGAAUACCGGUGGCGAAGGCGGCCCCCUGGACGAAGACUGACGCUCAGGUGCGAAAGCGUGGGGAGCAAACAGGAUUAGAUACCCUGGUAGUCCACGCCGUAAACGAUGUCGACUUGGAGGUUGUGCCCUUGAGGCGUGGCUUCCGGAGCUAACGCGUUAAGUCGACCGCCUGGGGAGUACGGCCGCAAGGUUAAAACUCAAAUGAAUUGACGGGGGCCCGCACAAGCGGUGGAGCAUGUGGUUUAAUUCGAUGCAACGCGAAGAACCUUACCUGGUCUUGACAUCCACGGAAGUUUUCAGAGAUGAGAAUGUGCCUUCGGGAACCGUGAGACAGGUGCUGCAUGGCUGUCGUCAGCUCGUGUUGUGAAAUGUUGGGUUAAGUCCCGCAACGAGCGCAACCCUUAUCCUUUGUUGCCAGCGGUCCGGCCGGGAACUCAAAGGAGACUGCCAGUGAUAAACUGGAGGAAGGUGGGGAUGACGUCAAGUCAUCAUGG
This 1200-nucleotide ribosomal RNA is filed under the name Escherichia coli. RNAcentral describes it as "bacterial SSU rRNA". It matches the Rfam family "Bacterial small subunit ribosomal RNA", at positions 8 to 1198 of the family's 1533-position model. Lineage: Bacteria; Pseudomonadati; Pseudomonadota; Gammaproteobacteria; Enterobacterales; Enterobacteriaceae. RNAcentral also lists the same sequence under 1 other name. The record is from RNAcentral.